UAGGGAAUCUUCGGCAAUGGACGAAAGUCUGACCGAGCAACGCCGCGUGAGUGAAGAAGGUUUUCGGAUCGUAAAACUCUGUUGGUAGAGAAGAACGUUGGUGAGAGUGGAAAGCUCAUCAAGUGACGGUAACUACCCAGAAAGGGACGGCUAACUACGUACACG
RNAcentral lists this ribosomal RNA (165 nucleotides) under uncultured bacterium. Its description in RNAcentral is "partial 16S rRNA". It matches the Rfam family "Bacterial small subunit ribosomal RNA", at positions 355 to 511 of the family's 1533-position model. The record is from RNAcentral.